UACCUCGUUGAUCCUACCAGUAGUCAUAUGCUUGUCUCAAAGAUUAAGCCAUGCAUGUCUAAGUAUGAACUAAUUCAAACUGUGAAACUGCGAAUGGCUCAUUAAAUCAGUUAUAGUUUCUUUGAUGGUACCUUAAUACUCAGAUAACCAUAGUAAUUCUAGAGCUAAUACAUGCACCAAGUAUCGACUCUUUGGAAGCGAUGCAUUUAUUAGAUAAAAGGUUAGCGCGAGCUUGCCCACUUCUCCGAUGAAUCAUGAUAACUUGAAGGAUCGCAUAGCCCUUUUGUUGGCGAUGCUUCAUUCAAAUUUCUGCCCUAUCAACUUUUGAUGGUAGGAUAGAGGCCUACCAUGGUGGUGAUGGGUGAUGGAGAAUUAGGGUUCGAUUUCAGAGAGGGAGCCUGAGAAACGGCUACCACAUCCAAGGAGGGCAGCAGGCGUGCAAGUUACCCAAUCCUGACAUGGGGAGGUGGUGAAAAUAAAUAACAAUGCUGGGCUCAUUGAGUCUAGUAAUUGAAAUGAGUACAAUCUAAAUCCCUUAACGAGGAUCCAUUGGAGAGAAAGUUUGGUGCCAGUAGCUGCGGUAAUUUCAACUCCAAUAGCAUAUAUUUAAGUUGUUGCAGUUAAAAAUCUCAUAGUUUUAUCUUGGGUCGUAAAGGUCAGUGUGCACUUGUCAUUCCGUCCCUUUUUCCGAUGGCAUGCUCCUGGCCUUAAUUGGCUGGGUCGCAGUUCCGACGUUGUUACUUUGAAAAAAUUAGAGUGCUCAAAGCAAUAUUAUUCUAUGAAUACAUUAGCAUGGAAUAACAUGAUAGGAGUUUGGUUCUAUUGUGUUGGCCUUCGGGACCAGAGUAAUGAUUAAUAGGGAUUGUCGGGGGUAUUUGUAUUUCAUUGUUAGAGGUAUAAUUCUUGGAUUUAUGAAAGAUGAACCAUUGCGAAAGAAUUUUCCAAGGAUGUUUUCAUUAAUCAAGAACGAAAGUUGGGGGCUCAAAGACAAUCAGAUACCGUCCUAGUCUCAACCAUAAACGAUGCCAACCAGGGAUCGAAGGAUGUUUCUCUAUGGACUCCACCAGCACCUUCUGAGAAAUAAGAGUGUUUGGGUUUCGGGGGGAGUAUGGUCGCAAGGCUUAAACUUAAAGGAAUUGACAGAAGGGCACCACCAGGAGUGGAGCCUGUGGCUUAAUUUGACUCAACACGGGAAAACUUACCAGGUCUGUACAUAGUAAGGAUUGACAGAUUGAGAGCUCUUUCUUGAUUCUAUGGGUGGUGGUGCAUGGUCUUUCUUAGUUGGUGGAGUGAUUUGUCUGGUUAAUUAUGAUAACAAAUGAGACCUUAUCCUGCUAACUAGUUGCGCGGAGGUUCCCCUUCACAGCUAGCUUCUUAGAGGGGCUAUGGUCGUUUAGGCCAUGGAAGUUUGAGGCAAUAAUAGGUAUCUGAUGCCCUUAGAUGUUUUGGGCCGCAUGCACACGACACUGAUGCAGUCAACGAGUUUUUCUCCCUGGUUCAAGAGGAUUGAGAAAUCUUCUCAAAUUGCAUCGUGAUGGGGAUAGACCAUUGCAAUUAUUGGUCUUCAACGAGGAAUUCCUAGUAAGCGUGUGUCAUCAGCUCGUGCUGACUACAUCCCUGCCUUUUGUACAGACCGCCCAUCGCUCCUGUUGGUUGAAUGAUCCAGUGAAGUGUUUGUAUCUCUUCAACGAGGGUAUUUUGUUGCCGAAAAUGUCGUGAGAAGUUCACUGAACCUUAUCAUUUAGAGGAAGGAGAAGUCGUAACAAGGUUACCAUAGGUGAACCUACGGUAAGAUCAUUG
Molecule: non-coding RNA, 1800 nt
Organism: Picea glauca (white spruce)
Lineage: Eukaryota; Viridiplantae; Streptophyta; Pinopsida; Pinales; Pinaceae
Source: Rfam